This 468-nucleotide ribosomal RNA is filed under the name uncultured bacterium. Its description in RNAcentral is "partial 16S ribosomal RNA". It matches the Rfam family "Bacterial small subunit ribosomal RNA", at positions 28 to 507 of the family's 1533-position model. The record is from RNAcentral.
GACGAACGCUGGCGGCGUGCUUAACACAUGCAAGUCGAACGGUGAAGCUCCAGCUUGCUGGAGUGGAUCAGUGGCGAACGGGUGAGUAACACGUGAGUAACCUGCCCCUGACUCUGGAAUAAGCGCUGGAAACGGCGUCUAAUACUGGAUACGAGAAGGGUCCGCAUGGGCACUUUCUGGAAAGUUUUUCGGUUGGGGAUGGGCUCGCGGCCUAUCAGCUUGUUGGUGAGGUAAUGGCUCACCAAGGCGACGACGGGUAGCCGGCCUGAGAGGGCGACCGGCCACACUGGGACUGAGACACGGCCCAGACUCCUACGGGAGGCAGCAGUGGGGAAUAUUGCACAAUGGGCGAAAGCCUGAUGCAGCGACGCCGCGUGAGGGAUGACGGCCUUCGGGUUGUAAACCUCUUUCAGCAGGGAAGAAGCGAAAGUGACGGUACCUGCAGAAGAAGCACCGGCUAACUACGUG